AUACGGAGGGUGCAAGCGUUACUCGGAAUCACUGGGCGUAAAGCGCGCGCAGGCGGUCUUUUAAGUCGGAUGUGAAAGCCUACGGCUCAACCGUAGAACUGCAUCCAAAACUAUUAGACUAGAGUGUGGGAGAGGAAGAUGGAAUUAGUUGUGUAGGGGUAAAAUCCGUAGAGAUAACUAGGAAUACCAAAAGCGAAGGCAAUCUUCUGGAACACUACUGACGCUGAGGCGCGAAAGCGUGGGGAGCAAACAGGAUUAGAAACCCCGGUAGUCC
This 274-nucleotide ribosomal RNA is filed under the name uncultured bacterium. Its description in RNAcentral is "partial 16S ribosomal RNA". It matches the Rfam family "Bacterial small subunit ribosomal RNA", at positions 523 to 796 of the family's 1533-position model. The record is from RNAcentral.